GUCCUGGAUUUUAAUAGAAGUCCCUGGGCUGAGGUGUUAACAGUCUUCAUUUAAUGAAUUUCCAUGAACAUCUUUUUUUUGAUGAUCGUUGUGUGGAGAUAUCAUCUUAAUUGAAACUGUGAGAAGGCUGUACCUGUGACAAAGGACACAAAAGAACCUGCUUAUGUGAACACAAAUGAAGGACACAGUGGGGACUUGCCAUAUACGUAAUUUUGGAUUUUUUCUCUUCACAAGUUUCAGUGCAUGUUUUCUACAACAAAUAUGUCACCUCCUAUAUAGGUCAGAGUAUUUAUACCCAGGACACACCUGAAGGGAUUCUGGACAGCAUGUUUACCAAAAAACUAUUGAAUAUUGAUUGGUAUGAAAUUUAAUUUAAGACCACUCUAAAUGACACAUACAAAAAUGUAAGUUGGAGUGAAGGCAGUUUGCCAUUUCAGAUUGUAGAUAUCCACAGACUUUUCUGAAUACAUUAAAACCCUUGAUAGAAACAGGAAAGGAAGAACAAGCAAGAGCAAUGAUUCCACACUGAGGAGGUCCAGAAAAAACGAUACAAGCUAGAAGACUUCCAAGUGGAGUGUGGUAUCAUCCUCCUUGAUUUAUUCCAGGAACACAUUGGAAAAGCCCUAAGGUCCUCACCCCUAAGCACGGUUAGCUUCUAAAGUUACCACAAAGCAAUUCCAGGUGGAAAACAGGGAAGCCUGCAGACUUCUGGGUAAAGGCUGUGCAUUUGGAAAAUUAAAAAAAAAAACAAGCAGACAUAUCAUACGACACACAAACUAGAGACAAUGGCAGGAGAGCAUGCUCUACAAAAAGAUGUGGGUGUCCCAAAAGACUGAAAAUGGCCAUAGCAUUUACCUUGUGCGUCUUGGCAGUUUUGGUAGAGUCAGUGUUGUUGUCACUCUCGGGAGUGACACCCUGCUUCUGGAUCUGCUAAAGGCCCUAGAAGGGACGGAGGUUUAUUCUGAUUUGAGUAGACUGGAGGUUUAAAAACAAACAAAAAAAAUCCCCUCAUUCCUUAGACAAACUCUUUGGCCCAGUCAGAUUGCAAAUCACAUGCAGAGAGUAUCCUGCAUGCCUCAGGUGAUCCCCAAGAAGAACUUAUCCCUUAUAACUUAAUGAAGACUCCUAAAAGCCCUGAUUCAGAUGUAUUCAUCACUCAUCAAACAACUAUGGAUGUCUGGGGAGCGCGACUAGAUGGAUACGUUUGGCUGAGCCUCAUGCCUCACAGAUCCCAGCACGUGAACUGUGUGCAGAGCAUUUCUGCUGAACUGCUAUGUCUGCUUUUCUGCAUACAGCCCCAUUCCUUCUCCACAAGAGACACCUGUACCAAUACAUGGUGGGGGAAAUGACAAAGAUCUGUCAAUCAUGAGACACUUGAGGAAUGUGGUAAUGGCAGCAGACACAUUUCCCUUGCAUUGCAAUGAUCUGUGGUACCAACUCUGCACCUUGACCAAAGACCCAACAAAAAUAAGAUGAGUGUACUUCACAAGUCAACUCAUACUGUUCCAAUCAUCUUACCAAGUGUUGCAGAUGGAGGGGUUCAGGGGAUCGACAGGGCCACUAA
Felis catus (domestic cat) is the source of this 1564-nucleotide long non-coding RNA. RefSeq lists it as uncharacterized. NCBI's taxonomy places the organism in Eukaryota, Metazoa, Chordata, Mammalia, Carnivora, Felidae. The transcript is spliced from 2 exons. The record is from RefSeq and is a predicted model, not a curated record.